GACGAACGCUGGCGGCGUGCCUAAUACAUGCAAGUUGAGCGCUGAAGGUUGGUACUUGUACCGACUGGAUGAGCAGCGAACGGGUGAGUAACGCGUGGGGAAUCUGCCUUUGAGCGGGGGACAACAUUUGGAAACGAAUGCUAAUACCGCAUAAAAACUUUAAACACAAGUUUUAAGUUUGAAAGAUGCAAUUGCAUCACUCAAAGAUGAUCCCGCGUUGUAUUAGCUAGUUGGGGAGGUAAAGGCUCACCAAGGCGAUGAUACAUAGCCGACCGGUGGGGGUGAUCGGCAUCAUUGGGACGGGGACACGGCCCAAACGCCUACGGGAGGCAGCAGUAGGGAAUCUUCGGCAAUGGAAGAAAGUCUGACCGAGCAACGCCGCGUGAGUGAAGAAGGUUUUCGGAUCGUAAAACUCUGUUGGUAGAGAAGAACGGUGGUGAGAGUGGAAAGCUCAUCAAGUGACGGUAACUACCCAGAAAAGGACGGCUAACUACGUGCCAGCAGCCGCCGUAA
This 513-nucleotide ribosomal RNA is filed under the name uncultured bacterium. Its description in RNAcentral is "partial 16S ribosomal RNA". It matches the Rfam family "Bacterial small subunit ribosomal RNA", at positions 28 to 523 of the family's 1533-position model. The record is from RNAcentral.